Molecule: ribosomal RNA, 403 nt
Filed under: uncultured soil bacterium
Lineage: Bacteria
Description: bacterial SSU rRNA
Rfam family: Bacterial small subunit ribosomal RNA
Source: RNAcentral
AGGACGAACGCUGGCGGCGUGCUUAACACAUGCAAGUCGAGCGGUAAGGCCUUUCGGGGUACACGAGCGGCGAACGGGUGAGUAACACGUGGGUGAUCUGCCCUGCACUUCGGGAUAAGCCUGGGAAACUGGGUCUAAUACCGGAUAUGACCUCCUAUCGCAUGGUGGGUGGUGGAAAGAUUUAUCGGUGCAGGAUGGGCCCGCGGCCUAUCAGCUUGUUGGUGGGGUAAUGGCCUACCAAGGCUUUGACGGGUAGCCGGCCUGAGAGGGUGACCGGCCACACUGGGACUGAGACACGGCCCAGACUCCUACGGGAGGCAGCAGUGGGGAAUAUUGGACAAUGGGCGAAGCCUGAUCCAGCAACGCCGCGUGAGGGAUGACGGCCUCGGUUGUAACUACGUUC